GCCGUCGCAUUCGCUUCGGUUCGACUCCAUUGUUUACAAGAAAAACAAAAUUGUUUGUUUAUUAAAUUGUCCGCUUUUGAUAACUUUUUAUUUUUUGCUGGAUAAUUUGUUUAUAUUGUUGUAGCUGAUAGAAUAACUGAUGAAAAUCAAUCAUGGAGGCCGGAAGAUUAAUUCAUGGAAGAUUCAUUCAAGAGCCAAUUCCUAGGAUAAGCUCAAUGGAUUGCAUGUAGUUUCGCGCACGGAAGUGAAUGUUUUUUACUUUUCCAGUUCAUCAAUAAAGGAUUUCCAAUAUUUGAUGGCAGUAUCGUUAUUUUGUUGGUAAUCGUUUUUUACAACAAUAAUGAAUAAAAGGCAAAUUGUGCGAUAAACGGCCCUGUGAA
Long non-coding RNA from Stomoxys calcitrans (stable fly), 380 nucleotides. RefSeq lists it as uncharacterized. The record is from RefSeq and is a predicted model, not a curated record. NCBI's taxonomy places the organism in Eukaryota, Metazoa, Arthropoda, Insecta, Diptera, Muscidae. The transcript is spliced from 3 exons.